AGUGAACGCUGGCGGUAGGCCUAACACAUGCAAGUCGAACGGCAGCACAGUAAGAGCUUGCUCUUACGGGUCGCGCCUCCCGGCACGGUGACGAACACAUCGGAAUACACUCUUUCGUGCGGGCUCACGUACGCCCCACUCCGCUAACACCGACCCGGACCUACGGGUGAAAGCACGGGCCCGUGGGCUCGUCCGCGCGUGAACGCGCCGAUGUCGGAUUACCUAGCCGUGGGGGUAAAGGCCCACCCAGGCGACGAUCCGUAGCUGGUCUGAGAGGAUGAUCAGGCACACUGGAACUGAGACACGGUCCAGAGUCCUACGGGAUGCAGCAGUGGGGAAUAUUGGACAAUGGGCGCAAGCCUGAUCCUGCCAUACCGCGUGGGUGAAGAAGGCCUUCGGGUUGUAAAGCCCUUUUGUUGGGAAAGAAAAGCAGGAGGUUAAUACCCCGCUUGUCUGACGGUACCCAAAGAAUAAGCACCGGCUAACUUCGUG
Molecule: ribosomal RNA, 492 nt
Filed under: uncultured bacterium
Lineage: Bacteria
Description: partial 16S ribosomal RNA
Rfam family: Bacterial small subunit ribosomal RNA
Source: RNAcentral